RNAcentral lists this unclassified non-coding RNA (340 nucleotides) under soil metagenome. Its description in RNAcentral is "partial contains 5.8S ribosomal RNA, internal transcribed spacer 2, and large subunit ribosomal RNA". The stretch from base 1 to 120 matches the Rfam family "5.8S ribosomal RNA", at positions 35 to 154 of the family's 154-position model. The record is from RNAcentral.
GAUGAAGAACGUAGCGAAAUGCGAUAAGUAGUGUGAAUUGCAGAAUUCAGUGAAUCAUCGAAUCUUUGAACGCACAUUGCGCCCUUUGGUAUUCCAAAGGGCAUGCCUGUUCGAGCGUCAUUUGUACCCUCAAGCUUUGCUUGGUGUUGGGCGUCUUGUCUCUAGCUUUGCUGGAGACUCGCCUUAAAGUAAUUGGCAGCCGGCCUACUGGUUUCGGAGCGCAGCACAAGUCGCACUCUCUAUCAGCAAAGGUCUAGCAUCCACUAAACCUUUUUUUCAACUUUUGACCUCGGAUCAGGUAGGGAUACCCGCUGAACUUAAGCAUAUCAAUAACGGAGGA